GCGGCGGUGCUGGAACCGGCAGACAGGGCAGACUCAAACUCUGCUGUCCGUGAGGACGUGUGGGUUCGACUCCCACCCGCCGCACCA
This 87-nucleotide transfer RNA is filed under the name Anaerolinea sp. RNAcentral describes it as "tRNA-Leu". It matches the Rfam family "tRNA". From Rfam's summary of the family: Transfer RNA (tRNA) molecules are approximately 80 nucleotides in length. Their secondary structure includes four short double-helical elements and three loops (D, anti-codon, and T loops). Further hydrogen bonds mediate the characteristic L-shaped molecular structure. tRNAs have two regions of fundamental functional importance: the anti-codon, which is responsible for specific mRNA codon recognition, and the 3' end, to which the tRNAs corresponding amino acid is attached (by aminoacyl-tRNA synthetases). tRNAs cope with the degeneracy of the genetic code in two manners: having more than one tRNA (with a specific anti-codon) for a particular amino acid; and 'wobble' base-pairing, i.e. permitting non-standard base-pairing at the 3rd anti-codon position. The record is from RNAcentral. Lineage: Bacteria; Bacillati; Chloroflexota; Anaerolineae; Anaerolineales; Anaerolineaceae.